CGGGACACGUGGUAUCCUGUCUGAAUAUGGGGGGACCAUCCUCCAAGGCUAAAUACUCCUGACUGACCGAUAGUGAACCAGUACCGUGAGGGAAAGGCGAAAAGAACCCCGGCGAGGGGAGUGAAAAAGAACCUGAAACCGUGUACGUACAAGCAGUGGGAGCACGCUUAGGCGUGUGACUGCGUACCUUUUGUAUAAUGGGUCAGCGACUUAUAUUCUGUAGCAAGGUUAACCGAAUAGGGGAGCCGAAGGGAAACCGAGUCUUAACUGGGCGUUAAGUUGCAGGGUAUAGACCCGAAACCCGGUGAUCUAGCCAUGGGCAGGUUGAAGGUUGGGUAACACUAACUGGAGGACCGAACCGACUAAUGUUGAAAAAUUAGCGGAUGACUUGUGGCUGGGGGUGAAAGGCCAAUCAAACCGGGAGAUAGCUGGUUCUCCCCGAAAGCUAUUUAGGUAGCGCCUCGUGAAUUCAUCUCCGGGGGUAGAGCACUGUUUCGGCAAGGGGGUCAUCCCGACUUACCAACCCGAUGCAAACUGCGAAUACCGGAGAAUGUUAUCACGGGAGACACACGGCGGGUGCUAACGUCCGUCGUGAAGAGGGAAACAACCCAGACCGCCAGCUAAGGUCCCAAAGUCAUGGUUAAGUGGGAAACGAUGUGGGAAGGCCCAGACAGCCAGGAUGUUGGCUUAGAAGCAGCCAUCAUUUAAAGAAAGCGUAAUAGCUCACUGGUCGAGUCGGCCUGCGCGGAAGAUGUAACGGGGCUAAACCAUGCACCGAAGCUGCGGCAGCGACGCUUAUGCGUUGUUGGGUAGGGGAGCGUUCUGUAAGCCUGUGAAGGUGUGCUGUGAGGCAUGCUGGAGGUAUCAGAAGUGCGAAUGCUGACAUAAGUAACGAUAAAGCGGGUGAAAAGCCCGCUCGCCGGAAGACCAAGGGUUCCUGUCCAACGUUAAUCGGGGCAGGGUGAGUCGACCCCUAAGGCGAGGCCGAAAGGCGUAGUCGAUGGGAAACAGGUUAAUAUUCCUGUACUUGGUGUUACUGCGAAGGGGGGACGGAGAAGGCUAUGUUGGCCGGGCGACGGUUGUCCCGGUUUAAGCGUGUAGGCUGGUUUUCCAGGCAAAUCCGGAAAAUCAAGGCUGAGGCGUGAUGACGAGGCACUACGGUGCUGAAGCAACAAAUGCCCUGCUUCCAGGAAAAGCCUCUAAGCAUCAGGUAACAUCAAAUCGUACCCCAAACCGACACAGGUGGUCAGGUAGAGAAUACCAAGGCGCUUGAGAGAACUCGGGUGAAGGAACUAGGCAAAAUGGUGCCGUAACUUCGGGAGAAGGCACGCUGAUAUGUAGGUGAAGUCCCUCGCGGAUGGAGCUGAAAUCAGUCGAAGAUACCAGCUGGCUGCAACUGUUUAUUAAAAACACAGCACUGUGCAAACACGAAAGUGGACGUAUACGGUGUGACGCCUGCCCGGUGCCGGAAGGUUAAUUGAUGGGGUCAGCGCAAGCGAAGCUCUUGAUCGAAGCCCCGGUAAACGGCGGCCGUAACUAUAACGGUCCUAAGGUAGCGAAAUUCCUUGUCGGGUAAGUUCCGACCUGCACGAAUGGCGUAAUGAUGGCCAGGCUGUCUCCACCCGAGACUCAGUGAAAUUGAACUCGCUGUGAAGAUGCAGUGUACCCGCGGCAAGACGGAAAGACCCCGUGAACCUUUACUAUAGCUUGACACUGAACAUUGAGCCUUGAUGUGUAGGAUAGGUGGGAGGCUUUGAAGUGUGGACGCCAGUCUGCAUGGAGCCGACCUUGAAAUACCACCCUUUAAUGUUU
This 1812-nucleotide ribosomal RNA is filed under the name Escherichia coli. RNAcentral's name for it is "partial 23S ribosomal RNA". It matches the Rfam family "Bacterial large subunit ribosomal RNA", at positions 418 to 2215 of the family's 2925-position model. Lineage: Bacteria; Pseudomonadati; Pseudomonadota; Gammaproteobacteria; Enterobacterales; Enterobacteriaceae. The record is from RNAcentral.